GAUAAAGUUUUUUUGCAAAAAUUACAGCUGUGUGGUUGAAAUGUUACAAGUUCCAAUAUUGAAGCAUUUAUGAAAUAUAAUUUGAAAAAUAUAUCGGCUGUCAUCGCUAAAUCUGCCGCCUACUCACACGCAUUUCCGUAAAAGAUUGCGCGUAACUGCUGCAAAAGCAUAAUUGUAAUCGCUGCUCGAGAAUCCGAAUAAGCCGCACCCCAAUUUUGAAGUUGUGUUACACAAAACACGUGCUACUACACAAUAACAAACCUGCGGAUUCGACUGCAGGGAACUGUGAUGGCUGCUGCUGCUAACCGAUGGCUGAUGAUGAUGAUGCGCGGCUGUAGACUGUUGCUGAUGAUGCGAGCUGGAAGUCAACGCCAUUUCCUGGUUGAGUGAAGAAGCUGAUUCUUUGGAGGAUGACGCCUCCCCACCGCCACCACUCCUAUGCGAGGAGUUGUGGUGGGAAUGAUAGACCGAGACCUGAGGUAGCGUUCCAGGAAGCAAUCCGUGAAGAUUGAGGACCCAAUACUUAGCUACCGAGGAGGCUAACGCUACGGCAGUACCUACACGCAGGUCCGCGGAUGAAUGGGGAGUACUCCCUACAUUGCCAAGACUCGCGGUCGCAGUAGCCAAACCACCUGGGUAUGAUGGACGACCACUUUGACCCGCAUUUACAUCCUACCGAUAUACAUUCAGACAUUUGUACAACAUUGAUAGGGCAUGCAGCGGCAUGCACCAGGCUGAAGACCAAUCGACAAAUGCGCCACUUUUCAUACGUUUACUUUUGGUGCAUCAAAUGAUUCCACGGAUAUAUAUCGCAGAUUUAUCCAAGGGAGUAUUUAUACUAUCCAAGACACAGUAGUUGGUGUUUCUGUGUUGUUCUGUACGUUGUAUAUGUACCAUGUGUGUACAUUGAGAAGAAAACGCUCUAUCAUACACCUGUCAAGCACCAUACAAACCGAUCAUAAAUGGAUACUCUGUUUUCAAGCUUGCGCACCGCACGUGUGAACGUAACCGAAAACUGAAUGCGAAGGAAAUACGCGGGAAAGAAGGAACGGUAUCGACCAGCGCGGCGAUUGGUUAAUGAUCGGUGGAAAGGAGAAACCCUCAGAGAGGGACCUCACGCGAUGAACGCGGCACGCACCCUCGUCUCGCACCCCUCGUGCUUUAUCGAUCCUAUCGCGGAAGCGCAGGUGACCAUUGUUGUUGUUGGAUCGGCGAAUUCGAGAACGCAGAUGCGGCGCACGCCGACUCGCUCGAGUACAUGUAAUGUACAAUGAUUUGAGGGUCAUCCUCGCAAAAGGGCAAAAAUAAAAUAUAUGGUCGACGUAAGAGAAGAUUGAAUAGCUCGCGCGCGAAAAGAGGGAAGAGCGAAAACAACUCUUCGGAUUACGAACGCGGCGCGGUUAAACGAGAUUUAUUCCCGGAGCUGCCGAUUCCGGGGUCGUGAUGACGGGGAAUCGACAGUUAAUGACGAGAACCGCAAGAGACACGAGGCAAUGAUACGAUGCGGUGUCGUAGAAAAGACGUGACUGAAACUCAACUAUGCGGUCACGACAUGGACACGCAUAAGUGAGACAAACUAACUGAAUGAAAGAACGUAUUGUUUCGCGCUUUUUUUUAUACGAGAGAUUGCAGUGAAAAACUUUAAUCGCGCGUGUGCAAGAUAGCGGAAAAAGCAUCAACAAAGGCGGACGAGUCGAGCAAGGAGACAACAAGAAGGAUGCAGAUGUUACACUGCAUGCGUUCCAGAACCGGAAGUGGACGGACCGGAUAACGAUAGGGAGUCCGUACGCACCUUCCGGCUAAAAAAAAACGCGUGUUUACCCGAGAAAGGUAUACGUUUUCUCUGUUUUCGAACGGAUUUGGUAAACGGAAGAAGAGCGCACUCGAGUGAAUACAUGAGAAUAUGUUUAAAGUCUACGUGUUUGAAGAAUGCAUUUGCACAUCGCAUAUAGUGAUAUUUAAAAAGUCAGGUUCAGGAUGAAUAAGAAAAAAUUCAAGUCACGCGCGUGCUUUCUUAUUGUUAGAUAAAUCUUUGCUUCUCAUUCGGUAGAUAGUGACAAAAAUUAUCUUACUCUUGAAAUUCUAUUUUUUAUUUGUUCUAUUCAUCAAGGGAGAAUAGAAAAUUCGAAAGAAAAUAUAUUAAUCGUAAUUAU
This is a long non-coding RNA of Nylanderia fulva, 2153 nucleotides long. RefSeq lists it as uncharacterized. The record is from RefSeq and is a predicted model, not a curated record. NCBI's taxonomy places the organism in Eukaryota, Metazoa, Arthropoda, Insecta, Hymenoptera, Formicidae.